This 406-nucleotide ribosomal RNA is filed under the name uncultured bacterium. RNAcentral's name for it is "partial 16S ribosomal RNA". It matches the Rfam family "Bacterial small subunit ribosomal RNA", at positions 30 to 526 of the family's 1533-position model. The record is from RNAcentral.
AUUGAACGCUGGCGGCAGGCCUAACACAUGCAAGUCGAACGAGUGGCGGACGGGUGAGUCAUGUCUGGGAAACUGCCCGAUGGAUGGGGAUAACUACUGGAAACGGUAGCUAAUCCCGCAUACCCUCGGAUGUGCCCAGCUGGGAUUAGCUAGUAGGUGGGGUAACGGCUCACCUAGGCGACGAUCCCUAGCUGGUCGGAGAGAAUGACCAGCCACACUGGAACAGAGACACGAUCCAGACUCCUCCGGGAGGCAGCAGUGGGGAAUAUUGCACAAUGGGCGCAAGCCUGAUGCAGCCAUGCCGCGUGUAUGAAGAAGGCCUUCGGGUUUUAAAGUACUUUCAGCGAGGAGGCGUUACUCGCAGAAGAGGCACCGGCUAACUCCGUGCCAGCAGCCGCGGUAAUAC